This is a long non-coding RNA of Strongylocentrotus purpuratus (purple sea urchin), 4734 nucleotides long. RefSeq annotates it as serine/threonine-protein kinase 25. The record is from RefSeq and is a predicted model, not a curated record. NCBI's taxonomy places the organism in Eukaryota, Metazoa, Echinodermata, Echinoidea, Camarodonta, Strongylocentrotidae. The transcript has 9 exons.
AGCCAUGAUUGAAAGUCAGGAAUAGACAGGGCUGCUCUGUCUCUCGGUUGAAUGAUUUGCUGCUGAUUUUCUGACAGAUUUACCCAGUGUGUGCCUGCAUAUUCUUGGCCUUUGUCGACUUGGCCAGGGCCAGGGAUAAAUCCACUGUGUUUGUGUAUAGGUUUUGGAAACCACUUGUAGCAAGUUACUUUGGUUAGGGUAUGUGAUUUGCAGUGAGCAGAGAGGAUUUGAAAAGGAAUAAUAUGUGAAAAGAGUAAUUGUUUGGGACUAUUGAUUGUUGACGACCAGGAUUUUGUCUCUCAACUCCCCCUUUUCAAAAGUUUUCUUGAAAGUGUUAUAGAGAAGAGGGAUUUUCUCAUACACUGUAGUUCUGCCCUAGAUAAGCACCAAACUCCUUGCAUAAACUUGCAUAGCUUCAUACAGGGUGGAUCCUACUAGCUGACUGUUCAUGUCCUGUUACAUGUUUUUGGCGUUGAUGAUUUGAUUGUUGACAGAGCGUCAAAACUGUGAUUCUUGUUGCUCUGAAUCAGUGGCGCAUGGAGUUUUACUCAUGAUCUUGGAUUUAAUAUUCUUUGGAUAUACUCAAAACCUUGGAUUUAAUGUGAAUCCUGAUUGCCUUGAUGAGUUAUGUUGUGAUGAGGAUAGUGCAAUAACAGACAGACAACUGUAUUCAGGAUCAGUUUGAUAGAACUUUUGUGCAAUAUUGCACAUGUAGAUCUGUACAUGUACAUGUUACGUUCAUGUCUAUGGAUUUCACUUGUUCUCAGCAAGUUUAUAAUAUGAAGGAUGUCAAACUUUUUAUAGCAGUUUGAUAGACCUUACUUAGAGUUCACUUCUCUGUAGUCGUGGUUAAAUUUGUGAAUUUCGAUGCACAAGCGUUACAGCGCCCUCUGUUGUUCAGUGGGCAUUGAUUCGUUGCGGAUCAAGGAGAAUGAGAAACCAUCUAAUACACUGCCGUGGGAUCGCAAUGGCCAUUCAAAAUCAAGGCAACAGAAUAUGAAGGCGGACCCAGAGAAGCUCUACACGAAGCUAGAGCGUAUCGGCAAGGGUUCCUUCGGCGAGGUCUACAAGGGCAUAGACAACAUCUGCAAGGAGAUCGUAGCCAUCAAGAUCAUCGAUCUAGAGGAGGCUGAAGAUGAGAUUGAAGACAUUCAGCAAGAGAUCACCGUCCUCAGUCAAUGUGAUUCGAUUUAUGUCACAAAGUACCAUGGCUCAUACCUCAAGGGCACCAAGUUAUGGAUCAUCAUGGAGUACCUGGGAGGAGGGUCCGCCUUAGAUCUUCUCAAGUCAGGUGCAAUGGAUGAGAUCUACAUUGCAACCAUCCUACGUGAAGUCAUCAAGGGAUUAGAUUAUCUGCACUGUGAGAGGAAGAUACAUAGAGAUAUCAAAGCUGCAAAUGUAUUACUGUCUGAGAAUGGCGAUGUCAAACUGGCUGACUUUGGUGUAGCCGGUCAACUCACAGAGACACAGAUAAAGAGAAAUACGUUCGUUGGUACACCGUUCUGGAUGGCUCCUGAAGUCAUUAAACAGUCAGCUUACGACUCAAAGGCUGACAUGUGGUCCUUAGGCAUCACAGCUAUCGAGCUGGCUAAAGGGGAACCCCCUAACUCUGAUCUUCACCCCAUGAGAGUCCUCUUCCUCAUCCCAAAGAACAACCCACCCAAGCUAGAAGGCAGCUAUACCAAGAACUUCAAGGACUUUGUAGAAGUCUGUUUAAACAAAGACCCACGGCAUCGGCCGACAGCCAAGGAGCUACUAAAACACCGCUUCAUCAAGCAAGCAAAGAGAACCUCCUACCUGACAGAGCUGAUUGAGCGUUAUAAGAGGUGGAAGGCAGAGGGUAACGACUCGCCGGACUCAGACCCAGAGGAUAAUGAAUUCCCUAAUGAGUCGCUUCAGAAUAACUUGCCUGAUUUUGACUACGGGAACACGAUCAGGGGACCACAGUACAUUCCUGAGCCUCCUCAUCCUGAACCAGUUGAAUCUAUCCCUAGAAGACAACCUAAAUCAGAGUGCAUUCAGUCCCUCCUUGGUCCUAUACUCAGAGAUCUCAAGCGCAAGAAUGAGGGUUUAUCCGGUGCCAUCGAUGAGCUUCAGAACAGCUUUGAUAUGGCAGAAGAGUCGAGUCCAGGAAUCUGUGAUAGAUUAGUCAGUCAGGUUGUCUCUAGAGUAGAAAGUCCUCCAAGACCAUCAGUGUCAAGAUCAGGUCAACAUUAACCAAUCAUCACACCCCCACCCACCAGCAGCCAUCGUGUCAUGCUCGUGAACAGAACUGUACCAGCAAGCCAAGCAUGAGCAAGCAAGCCAAGACUGUAUGAACAAUGAUGAGCACGGUCAAUAAUGCGGCACAAGACACCAUUGUGUCCUCAUCGGUGGUGACUUCUUUGCGGCAGGCAUUCGUGUCAUUGUACUGGUUCAGAUGCUAGAUGGCAAGGAAGAGAUUAGGAUGUCAUUGAUGAUAUCAACAGAGAAGGGCAUUUUUCAGAAAGGGCGUAUCAUCGAUACCAAGCUGUAAAGAAGGAUGUGUGAUGAUUAUCAAGCGGUAGAGUGUGUGCUUUGAGAUGCUUAACCCAUUGCUUACUGGAACCUUGUGGCUCUUGUAUAAAGCCUAUGACAAUGAAUGAAUUCAGUAGUCAACCGGUUAAUGGCUAAUCUUUUCAGGAUUUGUCAGCAUUGGAGAGAAAGAAGUUUCUUGUUUAAAGGAGACAGAAGUGAUUGAUUGAUGUGUCCAUUCGCUUUCAUAGAAGAGUUACAGCCAGAGUGAGAGAUGAUUAGUAGAAAUGCCUUACUCCAGUUCUAGUACAGCAUGUAGACGUGUCUCCCUCCAUUGGUACUGCUAAGAACGGUGUCACAAGAAAUAGCCUUCAGACAGACAUUAUUAACAUCAUAACACUCUCUUGUUCCAGUCUACAGUAAUGACAGUAGAAAUAGUAUAUGUAUCUGGCUGGAUUUUCAUUACAUUUGAUGCUUGUAGACUCGGCUUCAUGGAGAGUCGUUAUGACAAACACUUGCGGAAAAACCCUUCUGUGAAUUUGUGCAUGUUCAUGAAAGAAAGGAUCGUCCCGCAACCUUUGCUUUUGCGAGGAACCCUUAUCUUCAUUUUCGGGUUGUAUGCUAUAAGAUUGUAAUAUCCCUGUUACAAUGCAACUAUACUGCUUAGCUCUGUCUCGCUACAAUUUAAUAUGAUACAGUGUUACUGAGUAACCAUACAUUUACACUGUAGCUCUUGUAUAGGGUAAUACAUCCAUUAAUUCUUCUCUUUUCCUCACUGUAACACAGACCCUAGUUUGAUCUUCAACAUAAUCUUACUUACACUAAUACAUCUGAUAGAUAAUCAUCAGUGUAAUAUACUCAUUUUGACAUAUAAAUAUAUAUAUAUUUUUGCAUACUAUUUCUAUCUCUCAUAUAACCCCAAUAUUAUUGUAUGGCCAUAGGGAGAUGCCCUAACAGUGUUUAAAUGAAAGCAAGUUUCUUUCUGUUUACAGAAAGAACUCAUCAUUUUCCAGGCUUAUUUUUAAACAGAAUAUUCUGAAUUUACAGCAUAAUAUACACUAUUAACGAUUAUAAAGGUGUUAACAAAAACAAAAGACAAUUCUGCUUUCCUUACAAUGGCAGCAAUACGCUCAAGGUAUUUGGCACCAGAGUUCAACUUUGUUGUACUAUCUAACAUUUGUAAACCUUAGUGAUCAGACAGCCUGAAUUCAAAAUUAUUUGGUCUGUGAUUUAUGAGUAUUCUGAAUAUGUAUUGGGCAUCGAUUAGACAGAAGAGCUGCUGAUGGGCAGGGAAAAUCCCCUAGAAAUGAACACACACACACAUACAGACAAAUAGACAGACACAGACAAACAAAGACAAACACUGUUGGGGUAAACAUGUGGCCAGGUUUGUUGAGAAUGAUAGUAAUAUUUGAGAUGUGCUUAUGAUGUACAUGUAGAUUUAGGCUUCCAUGUUGGUAGGUUCCAGUCUCUCUUUCAUCAAUUUGAUAAUGAGUUUGAAAUGUUCUGUCAUCGUAUUAUGAUUUUUUUUUUUCCUUCUCCAUGUAUGUGUGUUGUAAAGAAGGAACAGAUGUGGUUGUAUUUAUUCCUUAUGUCAAUCAGAUUUUGGUAUGAUAGACUGAAUAUAAUUUCAUAUUAGAUGAAUUUCAUUGAUGUAGGUUUAUCGUUUGCAUAUUGACCUCUGACCUCUCAGAUGCAAUAAGUUAUUCAUCCUUGAUGGAAACAGGUUUGAGGUUUGUAACCCAACGUCAAGAUGCUUUUAUUUUAAGUUGUUUCUUCUCAAAGUUAACCUCAAAGUUAAUCUCAAGCAGAUUCUUAUUCAUACAGCACCUAUACCAUAUUUUCACUUUUGUGCUAUUGAUUUCAUUUCAGAAUCGUAAAUGGCCUAUUUCAUCUUCAAGUCCAAUCUGUGUAUUUAUGAAUCAAUUGAGGGUUAGAUUGUUUUGAGAUUACGUGCUCUUGCAUUUCUGAUAUCCCAGAAGCAAUUCCAUCAUUGUUAUAAUUUAAAACGAUACUUGAAGUAAUUUGCUUGACAAUAUGAAUUAAAAAGGAUGGCUGUUUUUUUUUAUAAAUCAAGUGUGAUGAUAAAAGCCCGGUUAUCAGGAUUUUGUCAUUGCAAGUGCACCUCUCACAAUAUGCAAUAAUCAGUUGUGUGCGAUACAAUUCUGAAUCAACUUCCAUGAUCUUUACUACGUAAUGAUACCAAAUGAAUGAGCUACAGAAUCACACUCUCCAUGUAUA